RNAcentral lists this transfer RNA (75 nucleotides) under Streptomyces mutabilis. Lineage: Bacteria; Bacillati; Actinomycetota; Actinomycetes; Kitasatosporales; Streptomycetaceae. The record is from RNAcentral.
ACGGGAGUCAGCCGGCCGCCGGAAGGGUGAACUCGUAGACCAGCGCGUCCUGCCGGGCGUCCAGGAGGAGGUCCG